Molecule: ribosomal RNA, 401 nt
Filed under: uncultured bacterium
Lineage: Bacteria
Description: bacterial SSU rRNA
Rfam family: Bacterial small subunit ribosomal RNA
Source: RNAcentral
GGGCCCGCACAAGCGGUGGAGCAUGUGGUUUAAUUCGAUGAUACGCGAGGAACCUUACCAGGGCUUAAAUGUAGAGCGACAGAGGUGGAAACACCUCCUUCUUCGGACGGUCUACAAGGUGCUGCAUGGUUGUCGUCAGCUCGUGCUGUGAAGUGUCGGGUUAAGUCCCAUAACGAGCGCAACCCCUAUUUCUAGUUGCCAGCGGUUCGGCCGGGGACUCUAGAGAAACUGCCAGCGUAAGCUGUGAGGAAGGUGGGGAUGACGUCAAAUCAUCACGGCCCUUACGUCCUGGGCCACACACGUGCUACAAUGGUGGAGACAGAGAGUUGCCAACCCGCGAGGGUGAGCUAAUCUUCAAAGCCGGUCUCAGUUCGGAUCGCAGUCUGCAACUCGACUGCGUG